RNAcentral lists this ribosomal RNA (500 nucleotides) under uncultured bacterium. RNAcentral describes it as "bacterial SSU rRNA". It matches the Rfam family "Bacterial small subunit ribosomal RNA", at positions 791 to 1283 of the family's 1533-position model. The record is from RNAcentral.
UAGUCCACGCCGUAAACGAUGUGCACUAGAUCGUGGGGGCUCUGACGCCACUCAUGGUCGAAGCGAAAGUGUUUAGUGCACCGCCUGGGGACUACGGUCGCAAGGCUAAAACUCAAAGGAAUUGACGGGGGCUCACACAAGCGGUGGAGCAUGUGGCUUAAUUCGAAGCAACGCGAAGAACCUUAUCCUGGAUUUGACAUGUAUGGAUUAACUCCCUGAAAGGGGAGCCACGCCCUUUGGGUGGAACAUACACAGGUGCUGCAUGGCUGUCGUCAGCUCGUGCUGUGAAGUGUCGGGUUAAGUCCCUUAACGAGCGAAACCCCUGUCGCUAGUUGCCAUCAGGUAAUGCUGGGGACUCUAGCGAGACCGCCGGCGUCAAGUCGGAGGAAGGUGGGGAUGACGUCAAGUCCGCAUGGCCUUUAUGUCCAGGGCUGCACACGUGCUACAAUGGCUGGUACAGAACGAAGCAAUACCGCGAGGUGGAGCAAAUCGCUAAAGCC